AGACCCGAAACCCGGUGAUCUAGCCAUGGGCAGGUUGAAGGUUGGGUAACACUAACUGGAGGACCGAACCGACUAAUGUUGAAAAAUUAGCGGAUGACCUGUGGCUGGGGGUGAAAGGCCAAUCAAACCGGGAGAUAGCUGGUUCUCCCCGAAAGCUAUUUAGGUAGCGCCUCGUGAAUUCAUCUCCGGGGGUAGAGCACUGUUUCGGCUAGGGGGCCAUCCCGGCUUACCAACCCGAUGCAAACUGCGAAUACCGGAGAAUGUUAUCACGGGAGACACACGGCGGGUGCUAACGUCCGUCGUGAAGAGGGAAACAACCCAGACCGCCAGCUAAGGUCCCAAAGUCAUGGUUAAGUGGGAAACGAUGUGGGAAGGCCCAGACAGCCAGGAUGUUGGCUUAGAAGCAGCCAUCAUUUAAAGAAAGCGUAAUAGCUCACUGGUCGAGUCGGCCUGCGCGGAAGAUGUAACGGGGCUAAACCAUGCACCGAAGCUGCGGCAGCGAACGUAUCACCCAAGACAACUUUACGGAGUUGACGAUUGACGGAGCGAAGCGACGUCAAAGCGUUCAUUAAAGUCGAGUUGGCUUAGGGAUACGUUCGUUGGGUAGGGGAGCGUUCUGUAAGCCUGUGAAGGUGUGUCGUGAGGCAUGCUGGAGGUAUCAGAAGUGCGAAUGCUGACAUAAGUAACGAUAAAGCGGGUGAAAAGCCCGCUCGCCGGAAGACCAAGGGUUCCUGUCCAACGUUAAUCGGGGCAGGGUGAGUCGACCCCUAAGGCGAGGCCGAAAGGCGUAGUCGAUGGGAAACGGGUUAAUAUUCCCGUACUUGGUGUUACUGCGAAGGGGGGACGGAGAAGGCUAUGUUGGCCGGGCGACGGUUGUCCCGGUUUAAGCGUGUAGGUGUGUGUUCCAGGUAAAUCCGGUUCACUUUAACACUGAGGCGUGACGACGAGGCACUACGGUGCUGAAGCAACAAAUGCCCUGCUUCCAGGAAAAGCCUCUAAGCAUCAGGUAACACGAAAUCGUACCCCAAACCGACACAGGUGGUCAGGUAGAGAAUACCAAGGCGCUUGAGAGAACUCGGGUGAAGGAACUAGGCAAAAUGGUGCCGUAACUUCGGGAGAAGGCACGCUGACACGUAGGUGAAGUGAUUUACUCAUGGAGCUGAAGUCAGUCGAAGAUACCAGCUGGCUGCAACUGUUUAUUAAAAACACAGCACUGUGCAAACACGAAAGUGGACGUAUACGGUGUGACGCCUGCCCGGUGCCGGAAGGUUAAUUGAUGGGGUCAGCGUAAGCGAAGCUCCUGAUCGAAGCCCCGGUAAACGGCGGCCGUAACUAUAACGGUCCUAAGGUAGCGAAAUUCCUUGUCGGGUAAGUUCCGACCUGCACGAAUGGCGUAAUGAUGGCCAGGCUGUCUCCACCCGAGACUCAGUGAAAUUGAACUCGCUGUGAAGAUGCAGUGUACCCGCGGCAAGACGGAAAGACCCCGUGAACCUUUACUAUAGCUUGACACUGAACAUUGAGCCUUGAUGUGUAGGAUAGGUGGGAGGCUUUGAAGUGUGGACGCCAGUCUGCAUGGAGCCGACCUUGAAAUACCACCCUUUAAUGUUUGAUGUUCUAACGUGGACCCGUAAUCCGGGUUGCGGACAGUGUCUGGUGGGUAGUUUGACUGGGGCGGUCUCCUCCUAAAGAGUAACGGAGGAGCACGAAGGUUGGCUAAUCCUGGUCGGACAUCAGGAGGUUAGUGCAAUGGCAUAAGCCAGCUUGACUGCGAGCGUGACGGCGCGAGCAGGUGCGAAAGCAGGUCAUAGUGAUCCGGUGGUUCUGAAUGGAAGGGCCAUCGCUCAACGGAUAAAAGGUACUCCGGGGAUAACAGGCUGAUACCGCCCAAGAGUUCAUAUCGACGGCGGUGUUUGGCACCUCGAUGUCGGCUCAUCACAUCCUGGGGCUGAAGUAGGUCCCAAGGGUAUGGCUGUUCGCCAUUUAAAGUGGUACGCGAGCUGGGUUUAGAACGUCGUGAGACAGUUCGGUCCCUAUCUGCCGUGGGCGCUGGAGAACUGAGGGGGGCUGCUCCUAGUACGAGAGGACCGGAGUGGACGCAUCACUGGUGUUCGGGUUGUCAUGCCAAUGGCACUGCCCGGUAGCUAAAUGCGGAAGAGAUAAGUGCUGAAAGCAUCUAAGCACGAAACUUGCCCCGAGAUGAGUUCUCCCUGAGACUUAGAGUCUCCUGAAGGAACGUUGAAGACGACGACGUUGAUAGGCCGGGUGUGUAAGCGCAGCGAUGCGUUGAGCUAACCGGUACUAAUGAACCGUGAGGCUUAACCUUACAA
Molecule: ribosomal RNA, 2327 nt
Filed under: Salmonella enterica subsp. enterica serovar Typhimurium
Lineage: Bacteria; Pseudomonadati; Pseudomonadota; Gammaproteobacteria; Enterobacterales; Enterobacteriaceae
Description: partial 23S ribosomal RNA
Rfam family: Bacterial large subunit ribosomal RNA
Source: RNAcentral